CGGCAGCAUGAUCUAGCUUGCUAGAUUGAUGGCGAGUGGCGAACGGGUGAGUAAUACAUCGGAACGUGCCCUGUAGUGGGGGAUAACUAGUCGAAAGAUUAGCUAAUACCGCAUACGACCUGAGGGUGAAAGUGGGGGACCGCAAGACCUCAUGCUAUAGGAGCGGCCGAUGUCUGAUUAGCUAGUUGGUGAGGUAAAGGCUCACCAAGGCGACGAUCAGUAGCUGGUCUGAGAGGACGAUCAGCCACACUGGGACUGAGACACGGCCCAGACUCCUACGGGAGGCAGCAGUGGGGAAUUUUGGACAAUGGGCGAAAGCCUGAUCCAGCAAUGCCGCGUGUGUGAAGAAGGCCUUCGGGUUGUAAAGCACUUUUGUCCGGAAAGAAAUGGCUCUGGUUAAUACCUGGGGUCGAUGACGGUACCGGAAGAAUAAGGACCGGCUAACUACGUGCCAGCAGCCGCGGUAAUACGUAGGGUCCAAGCGUUAAUCGGAAUUACUGGGCGUAAAGCGUGCGCAGGCGGUUGUGCAAGACCGAUGUGAAAUCCCCGAGCUUAACUUGGGAAUUGCAUUGGUGACUGCACGGCUAGAGUGUGUCAGAGGGGGGUAGAAUUCCACGUGUAGCAGUGAAAUGCGUAGAGAUGUCGAGGAAUACCGAUGGCGAAGGCAGCCCCCUGGGAUAACACUGACGCUCAUGCACGA
Molecule: ribosomal RNA, 700 nt
Filed under: uncultured Ralstonia sp.
Lineage: Bacteria; Pseudomonadati; Pseudomonadota; Betaproteobacteria; Burkholderiales; Burkholderiaceae
Description: bacterial SSU rRNA
Rfam family: Bacterial small subunit ribosomal RNA
Source: RNAcentral